AGUAUGUUAAUAUUUCUCAUACUUCAAUUAUUUUUACCAUUUUGAGAGUUUGAGGACUCAUUUUAUCACUUGAAGACUCGUGUGGUAACUAAUAAAAUUUACCAUUUUAAGAACUCAUGUUAUUAUUUUGAGGACUAAUAUUACUAUUUUGAGGACUCAUUUUACCUCUUUAAGACAAUUGUAUGCAUGUCAUACGUUAACACAUUGUAGAAUUUUCCUUAACGAAAAAUAUGAAAAGGAUAUGAUUUUUCUUUUACUGCAAGUGAUUUUGCACUCAUCUCUUUACUGCUCAUUCCUGUUUUUGUUUAGCUUUUUUAGGCUUUGAUUAAUCAAAGUUGGCCAAAUUACAAAUUUUCCUUCUUCCAUAUUCCAGACCCCUGCCACCCCGUUUAUAUGAUAUGAUGAUUGAGAUAUAUGUUGAGUUCAGGACCUGGAAAAGGGAAAGAAGCAGAGAAGCGAAGGGGAAAAGGGUUUUGUGAUGAAGCUGAAGUUGUUCAGGAAAACAGAAUGCACCAAGAGUACAUUAGUUAACCAAGGGUCGGUCAACCAAGCUCUCAGUGUCGGUUACUAGGGCAGCGUGGGUCGAACCCCGAACGAACGCCAACCAGCACCAUGUCCGACGUUAGUUUCUCUGUCCAUACAACCAAAGGUGAAAAGUGAGGGUUUUGCAGAUUAGAGGGGAUUGGAUUGGUGAUAUUAUUUUGAUUUGAUAGCCAAAGAUGGUUUCAUUUAUCUGCAUUUGCACCUGCACCUCUUCGGUCCUAGCUAGAGUGGUUUCUGCCAAGUAUCAUUACUUGAAUGCAGAAGAUCAAUAGGUGCAGGUUUAAGUGCAGACGAAUGCCUUCUUGGUUCGUUCUUUCUUUCUUAGCUACCUAGCUCGGAAGCUCGCCACUAAUUAGGUUUAUAUAUAUACACCUUCGUGCUGUACUUUAUUGUAUGAUUCUGGGGCCAGUUGAUAAUAAUGCAUUAUUGACUUCCUGAUGUUGCAUAUGAAACCUCAAAUAUGACAUAAAACACUAUAGCAUUUUUGUUC
Long non-coding RNA from Rosa rugosa (rugosa rose), 1033 nucleotides. RefSeq lists it as uncharacterized. NCBI's taxonomy places the organism in Eukaryota, Viridiplantae, Streptophyta, Magnoliopsida, Rosales, Rosaceae. The record is from RefSeq and is a predicted model, not a curated record. The transcript is spliced from 3 exons.